The sequence is a regulatory RNA element, 42 nucleotides long. It matches the Rfam family "Ribosomal protein L19 leader". Rfam says of the family: This family is a putative r-protein leader autoregulatory structure found in B. subtilis and other low-GC Gram-positive bacteria. It is located in the 5' untranslated regions of mRNAs encoding ribosomal protein L19 (rplS). The record is from Rfam.
ACGAUGUUCCGCUGCAGGGGUAGAAGCUGUCAUGAGCAUCUG